UCGUAGUGGGGGACAACCGUGGGAAACUACGGCUAAUACCGCAUGAUCCGCGUAGGGACGGAACGACGAACGAAGCCGUUGAGGAGGAGCCUGCGUCUGAUUAGGUAGUUGGUGGGGUAAAGGCCUACCAAGCCUGCGAUCAGUAGCUGGUCUGAGAGGAUGAUCAGCCACACUGGGACUGAGACACGGCCCAGACUCCUACGGGAGGCAGCAGUGGGGAAUAUUGGACAAUGGGCGCAAGCCUGAUCCAGCAAUGCCGCGUGGAUGAAGAAGGUCUUCGGAUUGUAAAGUCCUUUUGGCAGGGACGAUGAUGACGGUACCUGCAGAAUAAGCUCCGGCUAACUUCGUG
RNAcentral lists this ribosomal RNA (349 nucleotides) under uncultured bacterium. RNAcentral describes it as "bacterial SSU rRNA". It matches the Rfam family "Bacterial small subunit ribosomal RNA", at positions 131 to 507 of the family's 1533-position model. The record is from RNAcentral.